AAAAAGACAAACUCUGGGUUUUCGUAUCCAAUGUUUGACCGUUCGUCUUAUUUAAAAAAAUUAUGAAAAAAUUAAAAAGAUAAGUCACGCAUAAAGUAUUAAUCAUGUUUUAUCAUCUAACAACAAUAAAAAUACUAAUUAUUAAAAAUUUUCAUAUAAGACGGACAGUCAAACGUUGGACACGGAAAUCAGAGUUUGUCUUUUUU
Molecule: non-coding RNA, 206 nt
Organism: Oryza glumipatula
Lineage: Eukaryota; Viridiplantae; Streptophyta; Magnoliopsida; Poales; Poaceae
Source: Rfam